AGUCGAGCGGACCUGAWGGAGUGCUUGCACUCCUGAUGGUUAGCGGCGGACGGGUGAGUAACACGUAGGCAACCUGCCCGUAAGACCGGGAUAACUACCGGAAACGGUAGCUAAUACCGGAUAAUCAAGUCUSUCGCAUGGGAGGCUUGGGAAAGGCGGUUCUGAAUUUAUUCARGGSUGUSACUUACGGAUGGGCCUGYGGCGCAUUAGCUARYUGGUGGGGUAACGGCUCACCAAGGCGACGAUGCGUAGSCGACCUGAGAGGGUKAACGGUCACACUGGGACUGAGACACKGCCCAAACUCCUACGGGAGGCAGCAGUAGGGAAUCUUCCGCAAUGGACGAAAGUCUGACGGAGCAACGCCGCGUGAGUGAUGAAGGUUUUCCKGGAUCGUAAAGCUCUGUUGCCAGGGAAGAACGUCUUCUGGAGUAACUGCCAGGAGAGUGACGGUACCUGAGAAGAAAGCCCCGGCUAACUACGUGCCAGCAGCCGYGGUAAUACGUAGGGGGCAAGCGUUGUCCGGAAUUAUUGGGCGUAAAGCGCGCGCAGGCGGCUGUUUAAGUCUGGUGUUUAAUCCUGGGGCUCAACCCCGGGUCGCACUGGAAACUGGACGGCUUGAGUGCAGAAAGAGGAGAGUGGAAUUCCACGUGUAGCGGUGAAAUGCGUAGAGAUGUGGAGGAACACCAGUGGCGAAGGCGACUCUCUGGGCUGUAACUGACGCUGGAGGCGCGAAAGCGUGGGGAGCAAACAGGAUUAGCAUACCCUGGUAGUCCACCGCCGUAAACGAUGAGUGCUAGGUGUUAAGGGGUUUUC
This 813-nucleotide ribosomal RNA is filed under the name Paenibacillus sp. R-7487. RNAcentral describes it as "bacterial SSU rRNA". It matches the Rfam family "Bacterial small subunit ribosomal RNA", at positions 60 to 835 of the family's 1533-position model. The record is from RNAcentral. Lineage: Bacteria; Bacillati; Bacillota; Bacilli; Caryophanales; Paenibacillaceae.